UACGUAGGGUGCGAGCGUUAAUCGGAAUUACUGGGCGUAAAGCGUGCGCAGGCGGUUAUGUAAGACAGUUGUGAAAUCCCCGGGCUCAACCUGGGAACUGCGUUUGUGACUGUAUGACUAGAGUACGGUAGAGAGGGGUGGAAUUCCUGGUGUAGCAGUGAAAUGCGUAGAUAUCAGGAGGAACAUCGAUGGCGAAGGCAGCCCCUUGGACCUGUACUGACGCUCAUGCACGAAAGCGUGGGGAGCAAACAGG
RNAcentral lists this ribosomal RNA (253 nucleotides) under uncultured bacterium. RNAcentral describes it as "partial 16S ribosomal RNA". It matches the Rfam family "Bacterial small subunit ribosomal RNA", at positions 524 to 776 of the family's 1533-position model. The record is from RNAcentral.